CCUACGGGAGGCUGCAGUCGAGAAUCAUUCACAAUGGGGGAAACCCUGAUGGUGCGACGCCGCGUGGGGGAAUGAAGGUCUUCGGAUUGUAAACCCCUGUCAUGGGGGAGCAAAUUAAAAAGAUAGUACCACAGGAGGAAGAGACGGCUAACUCUGUGCGAGCAGCCGCGGUAAUACCGAGGUCGCAAGCGUUGUUCGGAAUCACUGGGCGUAAAGCGUGCGUAGGCGGUUUCGUAAGUCGUGUGUGAAAGGCGCGGGCUCAACCCGCGAACUGCACAUGAUACUGCGAGACUAGAGUAAUGGAGGGGGAAGCGGAAUUCUAGGUGUAGCAGUGAAAUGCGUAGAUAUCGGGAGGAACACUCGUGGCGAAGGCGGGUUCCUGGACAUUAACUGACGCUGAGGAACGAAGGCCAGGGUAGCGAAAGGGAUUAGAUACCCGAGUAGUC
RNAcentral lists this ribosomal RNA (446 nucleotides) under uncultured bacterium. RNAcentral's name for it is "partial 16S ribosomal RNA". It matches the Rfam family "Bacterial small subunit ribosomal RNA", at positions 338 to 795 of the family's 1533-position model. The record is from RNAcentral.